Long non-coding RNA from Entelurus aequoreus (snake pipefish), 184 nucleotides. RefSeq lists it as uncharacterized. The record is from RefSeq and is a predicted model, not a curated record. NCBI's taxonomy places the organism in Eukaryota, Metazoa, Chordata, Actinopteri, Syngnathiformes, Syngnathidae. The transcript has 3 exons.
CUAAAUCCCACGUCUCCUACACACAUCAUCAAACGUGACGGUUCCAAUGAAAAGCUGGUAGGCCGUAAACCGACUCGCCUUGAACAGUCGUUCCACUCCACUUCCUAAAACUUUGUCACAUCGCUGGGGUGAAGUUGACUCUCUACUUCCACGAACACAACCUGUCUGAUGGGCGGUCCGAAAA